UAAGCAUAUCAAUAAGCGGAGGAAAAGAAACCAACAGGGAUUGCCUCAGUAACGGCGAGUGAAGCGGCAACAGCUCAAAUUUGAAAUCUGGCUCCUUUGGGGUCCGAGUUGUAAUUUGUAGAGGAUGCUUCGGGUGCGGCACCGGUCUAAGUCCCUUGGAACAGGGCGUCAUAGAGGGUGAGGAUCCCGUAUGUGACCGGCGACCAAGCCCAUGUGAAGCUCCUUCGACGAGUCGAGUUGUUUGGGAAUGCAGCUCAAAAUGGGUGGUAAAUUUCAUCUAAAGCUAAAUACCGGCCAGAGACCGAUAGCGCACAAGUAGAGUGAUCGAAAGAUGAAAAGCACUUUGGAAAGAGAGUCAAAAAGUACGUGAAAUUGUUGAAAGGGAAGCGCUUGUAACCAGACCUGCCGUCGGGUGCUCCGCGGGCAUUCUUGCCCGUUUACUCACCCGCGAUCAGGCCAGCAUCGGUUUUGGCGGCCGGAUAAAGACUCGAGGAAUGUAGCUUCGCUUCGGGGAAGUGUUAUAGCCUCCUGUGCAAUACGGCCAGCCGGGACCGAGGACCGCGCUUCGGCUAGGAUGCUGGCGUAAUGGUUGCAAGCGACCCGUCUUGAAACACGGACCAAGGAGUCUAACAUCUAUGCGAGUGUUUGGGUGUCAAACCCAUGCGCGGAAUGAAAGUGAACGGAGGUGGGAACCCUUAAGGGCGCACCAUCGACCGAUCCGGAAGUUUACGGAUGGAUUUGAGUAUGAGCAUAGCUGUUGGGACCCGAAAGAUGGUGAACUAUGCCUGAAUAGGGUGAAGCCAGAGGAAACUCUGGUGGAGGCUCGCAGCGGUUCUGACGUGCAAAUCGAUCGUCAAAUUUGGGUAUAGGGGCGAAAGACUAAUCGAACCAUCUAGUAGCUGGUUCCUGCCGAAGUUUCGUAAGUUCUUCCGAGGACCCACCCCCUAACGAACUCUUGCUAACAAUCUCAAUAGCCUCAGGAUAGCAGUAACGUUUUCAGUUUUAUGAGGUAAAGCGAAUGAUUAGAGGCCUGGGGGAUGAAACAUCCUUCACCUAUUCUCAAACUUUCAAUAUGUAAGAAGUCCUUGUUACUUAGUUGAACGUGGACAUUUGAAUGCACCGUUACUAGUGGGCCAUUUUUGGUAAGCAGAACUGGCGAUGCGGGAUGAACCGAACGUGGGGUUAAGGUGCCGGAAUGUACGCUCAUCAGACACCAAGGGGAAUACUUGUGGUGUCUUGCCGGGGGAUGGACCCCCGGCAUCAGUCUGCGAAAGGCGAGGUCUUUGACCUGUAGGGGUCGGCGGUCGCUCCGGCGAUGGCCUACCCUCUGCUGUCCCUUGACCCGGGCAGCUCACAGAUCAAGCAAAGGCCGGCGGCAGAGUGCCGUUGGAGAUAUGAUCGGCCCCCGAAGGCUCACUCCGGGGAGCAAGUGCAAAAGGUGUUGAUUCAUCUAGACAGCCGGACGGUGGCCAUGGAAGUCGGAAUCCGCUAAGGAGUGUGUAAUUGUUGCACACCACAGUCGCGAUACUAGCAUGCACCCCUGGGUGCAAGUGACAGCUCUUUGAUGCCCGAAUGCUCUCUCGUCCCGCGAGAUUGCUACCGGCAGUGGGGUCAAAUCGACCCCAUCUACAGACUACGCGGAGCUGACUGCGGGGGCCCUUGGGGGCUGCCGCAGGGAAGAUAUAGUCGUUGCAGGCCCCGGGAGGGGCCUUGGUGCCAGAACAACUCACCGGCCGAAUGAAUCAG
This 1746-nucleotide ribosomal RNA is filed under the name Ramalina requienii. Its description in RNAcentral is "LSU rRNA". It matches the Rfam family "Eukaryotic large subunit ribosomal RNA", at positions 35 to 1309 of the family's 3401-position model. The record is from RNAcentral. Lineage: Eukaryota; Fungi; Ascomycota; Lecanoromycetes; Lecanorales; Ramalinaceae.